RNAcentral lists this long non-coding RNA (3036 nucleotides) under Brachypodium distachyon (stiff brome). Its description in RNAcentral is "long non-coding RNA (BDIS_LNC001938)". Lineage: Eukaryota; Viridiplantae; Streptophyta; Magnoliopsida; Poales; Poaceae. The record is from RNAcentral.
CACAACACAUAUUCUUUAUUUCAUCGAAUAAGAUAACAAAAUUCAGAGUAUUAAUUACACGGUGGAAAAGCAAAUAGAACACCGAUGAGUCCAUCAACGCCACAGGCUUGUUGAGUAUAGACCCACGACCCUGCGUAACCUUUCUUCAUACGUCGACAUCUGCACAUGACACGUGCAGGUCAGUACAUUGAAUGUACUUGCAAGUUACACCUGCAAUGUUAGGAGCAAUGCAAAUAUAUGCUUAAGGAUAGUUCCUAGUUAGGCUUCUAAGGUUUAUUUUGCAAAAACAUCGUGUUUGGAUUUUUGAAGUACUCGUAAUACUUUUUUCCUUUGUAAACUCUACUUCUACAUUUUAUGGAACAUAGUUUUGAAAUAUAGUUAUGGUCAUCUGUGGAUACUGUCCCACUAACCUAGCUAUGCAAUCUGGGUCAUACUGCUGACCCUCACAUAGCAUCCCUUUCUUUCGGUGACCUGGAUUCCGCUCCAUCUGGUCAAAACAGUUUUUAGGAUUUUGAAAACAAAACUAGAAGAUCUCCUCAUAUCCAGACUUAGUAGCUCAAAAUUCGCUCGUAACCAGAGGCAUGGCUAAUCGAUUAGAUCGACACUCUCGAGAGGUUUGUACACUUUCCCCAGUUGACACAAUCAGUCCAAGGUGUUGCCUGAUGACAAGCGUGUGCAUCAGGUAAAGAUUGUGACGAAGUCUUUCACUAGUCCUAGCACCGCCCGCCCCCAAUGGACACAUUGGCCCCUUUCCGGAUGACGGUACCAAAGCAAGGGUUUCUCGCUAGCUAUUCAACUAAGCCAGAGCCCAUAAUAGCAAGUGGUUGUACGGUAAGCCUUUGGGUGCAUGGAAAGACUUGAACUUUUUGGUACUGAACGGCGGUCCCCACAGAAAUCCUGAGCAUCUGCAGAGACAAUAAAUGGAUGCUGCCCUUGUAGAAAUCCUGAGCAUCUGCAGAGCCAAUCACUGGAUGCUGCCCUUGUAGACAACCAAUCACUGGCCACUGACAUUCCACUCCGUCCAGUUAAAACAUUUUUUGUUUUAUUUCACAAAUACUUCUCCAAAACAUACUGGCUCAUAGAUAAUUAAUCCUACAAGUGCAUUCUUAUAGUUUAUAAAGCAAAGUAGCAUAUGCCAAAAAUAUAGGAUUUUAGAUGAUCAAAAGUGUAACUUGCCUUGGCCUUAGUGUAGAUCAACUUCUUCAUGGUAACCAGGACAAUCGCACUCCGAAUAAUCUACCGUGAAGAACGAAUAACUAAAUGAAUACAUCGUUCGGUAACUCCAAAUAAAAAUCCAAUAAGCAAAUAUAUUAACAGUAAUUAACAGAGUACCUAAACAGUGUAUAUGAACUGUUAGGCUAAUCCUUGGUUUAGACCUAACAAGCAGGAAAAGAUGUGGUUUCAAAAGGAGUUGAAAUGGUCAAGUCAUUGGUUUAUAACAGAUACAAUAUUCUACGGAUGAAAGGAUAUUGUAUAUGAACAAGAAAAGAUGUGGAAAUUAAUCUGAAUUGUAUAGUGUGGUGCAAGCUUCGUAAAAAAAACAAGAAUAAUCCAAUUUGGAUCUGUGGAUCAAAAGAUGUGGGAUUUGGAAAAUGGCUAAUCAUUGUGAUAGUGUUAACAGAUAUCAAGUAUGGUUGAUCAUGCACUGAUGGGGUUGUGUCGGUAAAUGUGCAUGAAGUGGACUAGCCUGUGGAACUUGAUAUACUCUACGGUCUACAGUAAGUGGCACACUAAAAGGAGGUACGGGCAGAAUUGACUGACUUACGAAAGACAGCUACUCCAAAACAGUGGGCUGGGAAUACAAAUUUCUAAUGAUGUAAUUCCCUAUUGUGUUGGGAAUUGUGAACAAUGGAUGAACAGAAAAUGGAAACUAUGCUACAGUACAGUACUAUCUUGGUGAUGCCAAUCCCAUUUGGAAUCAUCUCAAACGGAUCAAAGGUGCAGUAGCCAAGGACAGAUGAACAUGGCUUGGGAGGAACUUACAGAAUAUAGUAGGUACCUUCAAAUGAAUAUCUUCUGGUGAAGUUGGAUCUAAUCGACAGAGACCUAAUUAGUUGAAAUGUAGAGGGUAACGAUUUCUUCAAAACCCCACUGGAUUCAUCUAAUUUGGAGCUCUGGUUCACAAGAUAAAGGUUCUGGAAGAUACCUAAUCAAUACAAAGGUACUGUGGAUAGACUUUUCCAGAGAGGAUGCGCUAGGGAGGAUGAAUGUGAUCAUGUGCAAAACGCGAUCUAAGUUGUAGAGCUUGAUGUGUUAAACAGCAUACAGAAAUAAUUGGCUAAACAGGACCUACGGUUCAAAAGAUUCAAGCUACGGAAUUUGGCUAGUCAAUACUGCUGCUGCCGCUGAGAGUUCUCACCGGAGACAUAGGAGUUUGCCGGAGUUGAAGGACACGGCGAGGGAGUCGUCGGAGGAGUCGAUGAUGUCGUUGAAGAAAUCCGGGAGGUCACGGUGAAUUCCAGUCCAGGGAGUCGGUUCCAGUCUUCGGGGCGUCUCCAGACGGCUACGACGGGCGGAGCUCCGACCGUGGUUCCGGCAUGGCGUCAGGGAAAAUGCGUCCAAAGGACUCCAUGGCUCGCACAGCCUUGUCAAAGAUACACAGGGGAAUUACAAGAGUCUCCCGGUCCAAGGAAUCGAGAAACGGAGCUUCGGAGCGAGCUCACCUUCAACAGUGAAGGCGACGGACGGCAGAGGAAGACGGCCAUGGCACGGGAUGUACAGGGAUUUAUAGACAAAACUUUCAACAGGAGAGUCAGGGAGGAUGGGCAGGCACACAGUGUGACGCGGUAGGGGUCUCCUUUUAUAGGCCGAGGAGGGAGAUCGACGGGUGGAUGCCGAGGACCGGCAUUCGGUGCGCGUCGGUUUCACAUGGCAAUAAAGGGUCGAAACUGAUGAUACAUUCACGGAAUCGGUUCGUGGAGAGACAUGUAUUAACUUCCAUGUCUUAAUUCGGAGAGAAACCGUCGUUUGGAGGGGAUUCGAUGGUGGUUUUCAUGGCAGAAGGUGCGUGCGUGCUGUGUUCAGGAAUGAACGGAG